This is a long non-coding RNA of Pyrgilauda ruficollis (rufous-necked snowfinch), 464 nucleotides long. RefSeq lists it as uncharacterized. NCBI's taxonomy places the organism in Eukaryota, Metazoa, Chordata, Aves, Passeriformes, Passeridae. The transcript is spliced from 2 exons. The record is from RefSeq and is a predicted model, not a curated record.
GCUCGCGGGGCACUCCGGGCGCGCGCGGGCGGAGCGCGCAGAGCGCGGCGCGGCGGCGAGCGGUGAGGAGCUGCGGGUGCGGGCGGGCGGGCCGGCACUGCCGCAUCUCCCUCCUCCCCUGCGCCUUCAGCCGCUGUAAAACUCUGCCGGGACAUGGUUGUGGUGCCGCCCGAACCGCGGCCCGGCCGGUGGGGUGCAGGGAGCGUCCCGGGAAGGCGCUCCGGGGGACGCGGUAGCGCCCGGCGCGGUCUGAAAAUCAGUCGGGGUCUGCUGUGGCCCCGGGUGCCGUUCCGGGCCGCCGGAGCCGCGCCCCGCCGUGCGCUGCUGACACUGCGCGGCCAGCCCGUCCCCGAGGAGCUGUGAAGAGCUCGGGGCUGCCGCGAUGGACGGCGACGCGGGAGUCACAGCUGGGAACGAUUCGGUUUUGUGUUUUGAUGUGCAAUAAAGAUGAAGUGCUUAAAAGA